CGAUCACUCUGAGUUCAAGUAGUUUGGCUUCUUGCUUUCACCAAUCAUCAAUAAGUUCGAUCCACUAAUCACUGUCAAGACUCAUCAAUUGUUGCUUCUUCAAUCUUUACAAUCAAGAUUCUACAUUAUUGUCAUCCUGCAGUGUGAAGAUUUUCCAUUUUCUCUUCAUUAUUUCGUUCUUCUUUAAAUUAAAAAAAAAGAAAAACCAGAGGUUUCUUGCUGAACAACAUUGAAAUCUCUCCCAAAAAAGAUAUUCUGUUGUUUUAUUCUGCUGUGAAGAAUCUCUUUAUUUCUUCAUCACUUUGUUUCGCUCCAAAUUUGAAAAAGAGGAAAAAAAAAAAAGUAAAAAGGAGAUCUCUCUGUCCAACAACAUUGAAAUCUCUUUAAAAAAAAGGUUCUGGGCUUUAGUUUUUCCCGCGUGAAACGUAAAUUUCUUCAUCAAUCAGCUUUAAAAUCCCUAUAAGAACACAUUUUUGGUUGUGUUUCUUUUUAUCAAUGUUGUUGAUGACAUAAUGGGCAUUUGAUCACUUAUCUUUAAGCAUACUUGCUGUAGCAAUAACAUCUUGGAGCAUGUA
Molecule: long non-coding RNA, 575 nt
Organism: Prosopis cineraria
Lineage: Eukaryota; Viridiplantae; Streptophyta; Magnoliopsida; Fabales; Fabaceae
Exons: 4
Source: RefSeq, a predicted model, not a curated record